GCUUGUGGGAUCCUAAGUGGUAACUCAAGUCUAGAUGUGAAAGAAGCGCUCGUGUAGACUGACGCAUAUAUCCUCCAAAACAUUGAAGGCGACGAGCGCCUCUGUGAUGAUUCCUGUCGUCGCAUCAAUUGCAUCCUAUCGCUGUUUGACAAAAUGCCAAGGCGGGAGCGGAUGGUGUAAGAGGAGGUUGAGCGUGGACUAUCAUGUCGCAUCUACAUCUGAUGCCUAAAGAUUGAAGCAGCAGCACCUGCAGGGUAUUGGCGCAGACAUUGAACAAGGUUGGAAGAGGUCGUCGGCCUCCACGCUCAAGUUCUCAAAACGCACCUCGACCUUGGGAACUUGAAUCCCCAACUUAACCAUAAAACAUCACUUGGAGGAACUCCUCGUCGUCCGCAUGGUGAAGGGGGGCCUCUUGCCGUUCCAUGCUUGUGGAUCUCGUCUUCCUUCUGCCACUUCAACUUCGGGUUGUGCUACCAAGUAAGCCUGGUGUUGAUGUGCUGUUUUAGCGUGGCUCAGAUAUAUAGAGUGGAAGAGCAACGUGAGCUAGUAGUAGUAGCAUGGGAACGGUGUAAAGGAGUACCAGAACUGAAUCGGAAUCGAAUCAGGUCAAUAGUUCGAUGAUAUCGAAUCAGAUGAGAAGCGGGGUCAUACGGUUCGAUUCUGAUUUCUAGAAAUUAGGAUGUAAAUCGGUAUGGUAGAAUCUAAAGCUCUGAUUUCAGUUCUUAGUGGAAAGGACGCUGUUCCACACCCACUGUCUCUAUUCAUAGUCUCAACGCAGCAGUAGUUGAUUCGAUUGUUCAUCCAUGUGGGUGACAUGACACAAUUCCAAUCACGAUAGAUUUCUUGGAGCAUGGCGAAGAUUGAGAUCAGAUCUGGUUCACCAAGUCUCACAAGAAUGUUCCAUCGUGCAGUAAUCCAAAUGAACGUGGCAUGGAAAGACACGAGGGACCAACCCAGGGUAAGAACAGGAGCCUAUUACAGUCCUUUUCAAUCAAAUGAACCAUUAAUGGUUUGUUUUGUCAUCA
This is a long non-coding RNA of Musa acuminata AAA Group (dessert banana), 1025 nucleotides long. RefSeq lists it as uncharacterized. The transcript is spliced from 3 exons. Lineage: Eukaryota; Viridiplantae; Streptophyta; Magnoliopsida; Zingiberales; Musaceae. The record is from RefSeq and is a predicted model, not a curated record.